Molecule: long non-coding RNA, 18882 nt
Filed under: Triticum aestivum (bread wheat)
Lineage: Eukaryota; Viridiplantae; Streptophyta; Magnoliopsida; Poales; Poaceae
Description: long non-coding RNA (TAES_LNC025693)
Source: RNAcentral
GUCUCGAGGUCUACCGGAAAGAAGUAACGGAGGGGGAACACAAUAAAUAACAGAGCAAUCAAAGCAUCAUAAGCAUAACAUGGCAAUACGCGGUGUUAGGGGUGACCUAACGCAGUACUAGGUGCUACUGGCGAAGGGGGAAAACAUCCGGGAAAGUAUUCCCGGUGUUUCGCUUUUUUGGGCAGAUGAACCGGAGGUGGAUUGUUACAUGGUCGAUAUGCUAGGGACGUGUGGCGGACGAACGGACUGCGUAUUCGGAUUCGUCUCGCUUUUCUGAGCAACUUUUAUGUAUAAAACUUUUUCAUCCGAGCUACGGAUUAUUUUAUAUGAUUUUCCAAAGAUUUAAAGAAUUUCUAAAAUUAUGGAUUUAUUUUAAUCCGAAAAUAAACAGUAAACAGAAAAGCUGGGUGCACCCGGUGUAGUGCACCCAACAGUGCACUCAGGCUGACAGUGGGCCCCGGGGCUACCGAGUUAGCCGCGAGCGGUUAACUAUUCAGAUGAUGAACAGUGCUGGAGGGGUCCGCAUGUCAUCACCAUUGGGGUUAGUUUAAAUUAAACAGUGUUUAAUUUAUGGGGGUUUCUACACAUCAGCGGCCAAUUAGCCUUAGUAUUAGUACCAAAAACUAAACUAAACAGGGGACAGAAGAGACGUGAAGCUUUUGUGGCCUGUAGAGUACACAUUAUUGCAUAUGGUUAUGGGCAUUUUUAUUUGUUUCUUUUUUACAACUAUUUUUGUGGGCUUUUAGUUGGGCAUUAAUGUGAUAAAAAUUUAAGGGACUAUGAAGCGGCUGGUGCAUUUCAAGUUCGAUGGGUUCAGCGUUCAGGCGUGACUUUCUACUGGGUUCAGAACACACUCGUACCCAUAUACACGUACAUGUAGAAAAAGAAGAUUGUUGGGUUCAGAUAUGGCUGUACGCUAGCUCCGCCGGCCAUGGAGCAGCAGCAGCAUAAAUACGCAGCGGCAAUAGAGGGAGCAUCAACAGGCCGCGAGAAGAAGCAGUGCAGCAACAGCGGAGAGCAGUAGUGGACAACGAGCAGCAGCAGUAGCGCAGCAACAACAGCGCAGCCGGGCGCGGUGGCUAGCGGGCGGGCGGCUGCGCGCGCCGGCAGAGGUGGGGACGGCGAGAGAGGCUGUAGUGGGGCAGCAGGGGUGGGCGCAAACGUGCAAGGGCGACGGGAGGAGGGGCGCCCAGGGCGAGCUAGUGACGAUCAGAGGGCACCGGGAGCUCAGCCAUGGCGUGCGUGGAGCGAAGCUCCGACCACGACGGCUAAGCUCGGGGGAGGGCACCUACGGCGAUGGAAUCGAUGGGGAAGAAGGGGGAAUCGAAGGAGGGUGUCGGUGUCAAAACCAGCGGAUCUCGGGUAGGGUGUCCCGAACUGUGCGUAUAAGGCGGAUGGUAACAGGAGGCAGGGGACACGAUGUUUUACCCAGGUUCGGGCUCCCUCUUGAUAGAGGUAAAACCCUAUGUCCUGCUUGAUUAAUAUUGAUGAUAUGGAUAGUACAAGAGUAGAUCUACCACGAGAUCAGAGAGGCUAAACCCUUGAAGCUAGCCUAUGGUAUGAUUGUAUGUUAUCGUGUCCUAUGGACUAAAACCCUCCGGUUUAUAUAGACACCGGAGGGGGCUAGGGUUACACAAGAUCGGUUACAAAGGAGGAGAUAUCCAUAUCCGUACUGCCUAGCUUGCCUUCCACGCCAAGUAGAGUCCCAUCCGGACACGAGACGAAGUCUUCAAUCUUGUAUCUUCAUAGUCCAACAGUCUGGCCAAAGGAUAUAAUCCGGCUGUCUGGAGACUCCUAAUCCCGGACUCCCUCAGUAGCCCCUGAACCAGGCUUCAAUGACGAUGAGUCCGGGGCGCAGUGUUGUCUUCGGCAUUGCAAGGCGGGUUCCUCCUCUGAACAUAUCACAGAAGAGUUUGAAUACCAGGAUAGUGUCCGACCCUGCAAAAUAAAUUCCACAUACCACCGUAGAAAGAACAAUAUUUCCAUAAAUCUUAAUCUGCUGACACGCUUUGGCAACAUGACGUCAGGCCAUGGCUCGGUGAUUAUUCGAACCGUUUUUCUUCAACCAGCUCCACACAUAAAGCGAGGCGGUUUCUUGACACGUCUUGUCAAAGCAGAGAUCGUGUUCCCCUAAUUACGGGAUUCUCAUCAAUACGGUCGUGGGUAACCCAACCGUGCCUAGGACUCCUAGAUUUUAGGCAAGUCCCAAACGGCCACUAGGAGGACGCUUGAUAUUCACCCUCUUUAUAAAGGGACAAGGCUUUUACUUUUUUCCCUCCCGUGCUCAAUGAAUCCUUCCCCCGCCUCGAGUUCUAACACCCAAAGCCCAGGUCAGGUGCUUUGGACCUUCAAUCAUGUUCGGAUCUAGCCUUCAAGGCCGGUGGAUGCCCUCCUCCAUUACGGAAGAGGAUAUCAAGAAGUUGAGGGAGGCCAGAUACCUGACCGCCGAGGUUUCGCAUCGGCUGCCUGCCCGAGGGUAGGUCGUCCCUACUGCCGAACACAACGAGAACAUUGUGUUCAUCUCCCACUUCCUCCGAGGCCUAGGCCUCACCCUGGAUCCCUUUGUUAGGGGUUUGAUGUUCUAUUACGGGCUAGAUUUCCACGAUCUAGCCCCGGACUCCUUUCUCCACGUCUCGACAUUUAUUGUCGUAUGUGAGGCCUUCCUCCGCAUUACCCCUCACUUCGGCCUGUGGCUCAAGACCUUUGACAUGAAGCCGAAGAUGGUCGAGGGGCAGCACGUAGCGUGCAGAGGCGCAUUAAUAAGUAAAAUCGCUGGAGCUCCAUGGCCAAAGGGUUCCUUUCCAGAGGUGUCCGGAUUAUGGCAGCGAGAGUGGUUCUACAUCACAGCUCCCAGAAGUGCCAAGUGGGUGGCCGCCCCUGCUUUUUGCUCGGGCCCUCCACCACAACUGAUCUCAUGGAUUAGCAGAGGGCUGAGAUGGGGUCCAGCCAAGGACGUGCCUAUACUGCAAAGCCGCGUUCAAGAUCUCUUCGACAGAGAUUUCAGUCUGGUUAUGGUGGUGCAAGUCAUGCUGGUUCGUCGAGUCCAGCCUUGCAAACGCCGGCCCCUCCGCGUGUGGGAGUUCAACCCAAAAGGGCCGCGCACUAUUCAGAAUUUCCUCGGCCUGACGCACGAGGAGAUGUACAAAUCAUUCUUCGGACCCCAAAUAGAGUGUACGGAUACUACCGAGGAUGUGGGCCUGAGCAGCAACCGUACCGCUGACCAAGGAAGUAAUCCUCUAGCCGAACACACCGUCCUUCAUUUACCAUGACGUCAUUCUGAAAAAUCGCACUUUGACCAGGACUGGCUAACAAAGGCGAAGAUGACUCGGUGUUCAGCCCACCUUCCUGAGGGUUUGGAGAAUCCGGUACUGGAAAAGAUGCUCGAGCUAGCACCUUGCCCGGAGGCCUCAAAGGAAGAUGAAGGGGGGAAUAAUGAGGUCGAAAGCGGGCCCCCAUCGCUACCAAUUCCAACCGAGGGAAGGAGCGCCUCCGUGAAGGAGGAUAACCAAGGGGAAGAAUCUGACCUUCUCUUGCUCCGGGGAAGGAAGAGGACCACCUCUGAAGAUCCGGAAACCAAGGCUUCCAAGCGGGAGAAGAAGUCUCCACCAGAGGGUCCUGCCUCGGAGGGUGCUUUUGCCGCACAAAGUCCGCGCGGGGAUCAGCCCUUUAACGAGCCGUAAGUGAUCAAAAAAUACUUAAUAGUAAAGAUAUUCUACCUUACUUCCGAGGAAAAUAACCGAAGUGUUUAUCUCGCAGUUCGGAUCUUAGCCCUUCUGAAACGCCUCCCCCGGACUCCCCCGCUCAAGAAGCAGGCGACCUUGAAGUGUCGUCAUGGAGGGCCUCUCCGGAUCCGGUGAGGCCAGAAGAUAAUCCUAUAGUCACCCGAAGUCCCCAGCAUCCUGCUCUUGAAGAGAGCAAACAAAAGAGUCCGACGCAGUCUGGUAUGCGGUCAGACGCACUGAGGGAUCUGCUAAGGCGGGCGACCAUCUCGGAAGAAUACCGUACAUUGAUGGGUACGGUGAUGGAAAGGAUUUUAUCCGCCAAAAGUGGGUUGCAUGACGCCUUUAUGAGUCUACUAACGGGCUUUGAGGUAAGUAAAAUGAUGUACAUUUGUGAUGGUACCGCACAUUUUUAGGUGUGCCCUGUGUAGAUAGUAGCCCCUAAGACUCUGGUUGUCGCGGAAAACGGCGGCAAACAGAGGAUUGUAGUCCCAGGUAAUAACCAUACAGCUUUAUGUGCAUGCGAUGGAAGCUCUGGUGACUGGCCGACCUAAUGAGUUUGCCGAACUAAAGCGGCAACUGGAUGCGGCAGAUGCCAACAUCGAGCUUGUUAACAAGCGGCUUGACGAGGCACAGGGUAAGUAAUGUUUUUCCGGUCAAUGUCACAUAGUAAGAGCAGCAUGAUGCCAGUGUCUUUAAUAUGUUGUGACUGCAGAUGGAGCUGCCGCCGUGAAGACCCUUCGGGCGGAACUUGCCCGAGCCAACGAACAAACAAGGAUUAGUAAUGCGGCCGCUUUAAACGCAGCCGAAGAGUUAAGAGCCGAGAAGGCUGCGCAUUGCGAGAGCAAAGAAAAGAUGGCCAAGAUGGCUGUAAAGUUAAAAGACACUGCCGACCGUUGUCGGUUCCUUGAAGAAGAAAACCGAGCGAAGGUGAUGGACCUCGAAAAGGCCACGAUGGCGGCUAAAGACACCCGCUCUGCCAUGAGGGCAAAGAAGGAAGAGCUGCGUGAAGCUGGUGAUAUUGUGGCUGGGAAGCCCUUUUUGCUGCGAAGGAAGUUCGGAGAUCUGCGGUAUGCCCCUCUAGAUCGGCUAUGGAGUUCGGAAGACACAUAUCUGGAUUUGACGACGAGUGCUGUCGAUGUGGCCGAAUACUUCCGAGAUCAAACAGAUCGUGAUGUGGACAAGCUAUUCUGGUCGCAAUUUAACGUUCCAGAGCGUCCUCUUCCACUAACUGAUCAACUUGCCGAAUGGGCCAAACUCAAUAGAUUGUCCGGACUCGCCAUGAGGUCCGUCGUAGAUCAUCUGUGGCCGGAAAAGCCGAAGUCGAACAGCUAUUUUAGCUUAGUGCAGCAGUUCCUUGGUGCGGUGCCGCGCAUCAAUGUGAUGAAGAGGUCGUUGUGCAUAGAAGGCUCGCAGAUGGCCCUUGCCCUUGUCAAAGCAUACUGGGCGGAGAUGGAUGCUACCACUGUUGCGGCGCAGGGUUGGGCCAUAGGCCGAGUGGCUGCCGAGCAGUAUUUUGAAGAAGUUCUUGAGGGUGCUCGUUUGAUAGAGGCCUAGUGCUCGAAGAAUAUUAUGUUUGAGUGACAUGUAUUCCCAUUGUAAAAACAAUGUUUACCAAAUUUAUUAAGGCUGUAUUUAUACUUUUGCCUGAAAGUAAUAUGAUGCCUCCCGUGCGGCUGUUUAUAUAUAUAUGUAUAUAACCUGAAAGAUUGCAGUCGUCGACUUCAUCCCCCACACAUAUAAUGCAGGGGUGUUCGCAGAAGACGCCUGUUCACACGUAAUCCAACGUCUUGGUCCUAAUAAGGAGGUGAUAGUGCAGCGAACGAGGCAACCGGACUAUAAUGCUUUAACACUUUCACUUAGCCAUAGGAGUUUGACGGUGGGGCUACUAUACAGCCCCUGGUGGCUCCGCACUCUCCCGAAUUCGGGGUGCGUACAUGCCUGGCCUAGAAACGACCCUUCAUUAAGGGGGAGGAAUUCUAACAUUCCGAUGGGUCAUCGAGUGGUUGACCAGUCUCACGCUAUAUCAUGACAGUCAGUUUUCGGCUUUCUCUACUGAGGUGCUCGUCCGGAUGACCCGGGGCACAAUCGCAGUAGUUCUCCUGGUGCCACCUUAGCCGAUAGAGCGGAACGUAAGGCAGUAAAACACAGGAGCCGGGCAAACCCAACAUUUGACCAAAGACAUGAUUCAGAGCUGAUGCAUAUAAGGCCAAACUCGCGACGCCGAACACUCCCUAAGGUAUUCGGUCUUUUAUGGUAUAAACCGGGCCUAAACAGUGCCCUUUGUAAGAAGCCCCUGGUGUCCAGGUACGUGCAUUAUUCUGACGUGGCCACAUGCCAAGACGUCAGCAUUCUUCUCAAUAGUACUGAGAAUCCGAGGGAUGUUAUCAACAAGAGACAGUAAGAAAGGUUUACGCAGGGUCUUAAUCUAAAAAGAAUCCUUGGAAUGGGUCCCUGCUGCACGUCUGUGCCUGUGUCUCCGUUGUGCCGUAUCCUGGACUGGUGUAGCACGAUGGUCAUCUAUAAAAGAGAGGAACUUAGGUGAAAAGUUAUCGUGCAAAAAGGUAGGUUAUAUUAAAGAAACCAUGUACAAUUCAAGAUGAGUAAAAAUUGCCACUUGUCUGCGCGCGUUGAGCCCUUUGUAUUUGCAAUAGGGGUGUGGCCAUCAAACCUGUAUGAAUUACAUAUAGCUACGUCGGACUCGUCUAACCGUGUCCAUAGUCUUGACGACCUAUCGAAUGCUUUAGCUGGUAAGGCCGUUUUAGUGUGCGGCUGCCAAGGCAGCCGCACUCUCUUCAGUGCGCAGGGAUCGCUCAAUAUUUCCAUUUACUGUAAUAAUGCCACGUGGACCGGGCAUCUUAAUCGUGAGGGAAGCGUAAUGCGGUAUUGCAUUAAAGCGAGGGAAAGCUUCGCGUCCAAGUAGUUCUUGAUAGCCACUUUGGAACGGAGCAAUGUGGAAGGUUAUAUUUUCACUACGGAAGUUAUCGGGAGAGCCGAAUAUAACCUCUAGUAGCAGGGAGCCCAUGCAAUGAGCCCCUGGGUCGGGCGUUACUCCUUUAAAGGUAGUAUUGCUAUGGCAAAUUUUCGUUGGGUCUAUCCCCAUUUUGCGGAUUGUAUCCUGAUAUAUCAGGUUUAGACUGCUGCCACCGUCCAUCAUGACUCGUGUGAAGUGGUAUCCGUCAAUUAUUGGAUCUAAUACCAAGGCAGCCCAUCCUGCACGCCGGAUACUUGUGGAGUAAUCUCGAUGAUCGAAGGUGAUCAGUUGAGACAACUAGUGGCAGGACUCCGCGGUGAUAGGCCCUUGGGCAUAUUUCUCUGGGAGUGCCACUUUGUUUCUCCCCUUGAUCACGUGUAACACGUGUACUAUUUUGACCUCUGGUGGAAAUUUCUUUUGUUCCCCAGUGUCUUGCUUGAGAGGCUCAUCCUCGUCUUCGCUUGGUGUAUCCUCCCCCUUGUGUACGGCGUUGAGCUUGCCGGACUGCUUGAAGACCCAACAUUCUCUGUGGGCAUGAUUUGCAGGUUUAUCGGGGCUGCUAUGGAUCUGACAUAUUUGGUCCGUAAUUUUGUUUAGGCUGGACAAUUCAUCUUUGGCACCUUUAGAGGGCGGCUUUUGCUAACCUGGACGAGAGCUUUUGAAUCCGGCGUUUACCGUCGUGCUCUUCGGGCUGUCUUCUUUAUUCCGGCGCUUAUUAUUUUUGCUGCGUCGUGAUUUCCCGUUUCCAUCUAUAACUUCAGAUGUACUUGGGUCACUGGUGCUGCAUCGGGCUAGCCAGCUGUCCUCACCCGCGCAAAAGCAGGUCAUGAGGCUUGUUAAUGCUGGCAUUGUUCUCGGCUUUUCUUGGCUGAGGUUUCUGGCCAGCCAUUCGUCUCAAACGCUCUGUUUAAAAGCUGCCAAGGCUUCGGCGUCCGGACAGUCGACUAUUUGGUUCUUUUUAGUAAGAAAUCUGUUCCAAAGCUUUCGGGCUGACUCUCCGGGCUGUUGAGUUAUAUGACUUAAAUCGUCCGCAUCCGGAGGUCGGACAUAAGUCCCUUGAAAAUUUGCCCAAAAAGCAUCUUCAAGCUCUUCCCAGCUUCCAAUGGAGCUUUUGGGGAGGAUUUUGAGCUAGUGUCGAGCUGGCCCUUUGAGCUUGAGGGGUAAGUACUUGAUGGCAUGGAGAUCAUCUCCUCGAGCCAUAUGGAUAUGGAGGAUAUAGUCCUCAAUCCAGACCCCAGGGUCUGUUGUUCCGUUGUAUGCCUCUAUGUUUACAGGUUUGAAUCCCUCUGGAAAUUCAUGGUCCAGCACCUCGUCGGUGAAACAUAGGGGGUGUGUGGCACCCUUGUAUCUGGGUGUACCAUGAUGUUCAGAUGUUUGUUGUGUUGCAUUGUAUGCUUGGUCCAUUGAUGGAUCUGGUUGCGCCGUCCUUUUGAUGUGAGCCCUCGCGUGGAUCGCGUAUUGGCUUAUGUGCGGCAUUGUUUGCCGCUCUAUGUUGGCCGUGCUGUCGUCUAUCCGGCCAGAUGGCCGUUUUAAUUUUUGGUUGCGGGGGAUCUAAGGCCUCCUCAUUGAAUUCAGGUAGCAACUUCUGAAGGAAAUAUGCCCUAGAGGCAAUAAUAAAGUUAUUAUUUAUUUCCUUAUAUCAUGAUAAAUGUUUAUUAUUCAUGCAAGAAUUGUAUUAACCGGAAACAUAAUACAUGUGUGAAUACAUAGACAAACAGAGUGUCACUAGUAUGCCUCUACUUGACUAGCUCGUUAAUCAAAGAUGGUUAUGUUUCCUGACCAUGAACAAUGAGUUGUUAUUUGAUUAACGAGGUCACAUCAUUAGUUGAAUGAUCUGAUUGACAUGACCCAUUUCAUUAGCUUAGCACCUGAUCGUUUAGUAUGUUGCUAUUGCUUUCUUCAUGACUUAUACAUGUUCCUAUAACUAUGAGAUUAUGCAACUCCCGUUUACCGGAGGAACACUUUGGGUACUACCAAACGUCACAACGUAACUGGGUGAUUAUAAAGGAGUACUACAGGUGUCUCCAAUGGUCGAUGUUGGGUUGGCAUAUUUCGAGAUUAGGAUUUGUCACUCCGAUUGUCGGAGAGGUAUCUCUGGGCCCUCUCGGUAAUACACAUCACAUAAGCCUUGCAAGCAUUACAACUAAUAUGUUAGCUGUGAGAUGAUGUAUUACGGAACGAGUAAAGAGACUUGCCGGUAACGAGAUUGAACUAGGUAUUGGAUACCGACGAUCGAAUCUCGGACAAGUAACAUACCGAUGACAAAGGGAACAACGUAUGUUGUUAUGCGGUCUGACCGCUAAAGAUCUUCGUAGAAUAUGUAGGAGCCAAUAUGGGCAUCCAGGUCCCGCUAUUGGUUAUUGACCAGAGACGUGUCUCGGUCAUGUCUACAUUGUUCUCGAACCCGUAGGGUCCGCACGCUUAAGGUUACGAUGACAGUUAUAUUAUGAGUUUAUGCAUUUUGAUGUACCGAAGGUUGUUCGGAGUCCCGGAUGUGAUCACGGACAUGACGAGGAGUCUCGAAAUGGUCGAGACAUAAAGAUUGAUAUAUUGGAAGCCUAUGUUUGGACAUCGGAAGUGUUCCGGGUGAAAUCGGGAUUUUACCGGGUUACCGGGAGGUUACCGGAACCCCCCGGGAGCCAUAUGGGCCAUCAUGGGCCUUAGUGGAAAGGAGAAAGGGGCAGCCCAAGGGGGCUGCGCGCCUCCCCCCUUCCCCUAGUCCUAUUAGGACUAGGAGAGGUGGCCGGCCACCCCUCUCCCUCUUUCCCCCUUGGGAAUCCUAGUUGGAAUAGGAUUGGGGGGGGGGGGAGUCCUACUCCCGGUAGGAGUAGGACUCCUCCUGCGCCUCUCCCUCUUGGCCGGCGCACCCUCCCCCCUUGGCUCCUUUAUAUACGGAGGCAGGGGCACCUCUAAACACACAAGUUGACACAAGUUGAUCCACGUGAUCGAUUCCUUAGCCGUGUGCGGUGCCCCCUGCCACCAUAUUCCUCGAUAAUACCGUAGCGGAGUUUAGGCGAAGCCCUGCUGCUGUAGUUCAUCAAGAUCGUCACCACGCCGUCGUGCUGACGGAACUCUUCCCCGACACUUUGCUGGAUCGGAGUCCGGGGAUCGUCAUCGAGCUGAACGUGUGCUCGAACUCGGAGGUGCCGUAGUUUCGGUGCUUGAUCGGUUGGAUCGUGAAGACGUACGACUACUUCCUCUACGUCGUGUCAUCGCUUCCGCAGUCGGUCUGCAUUGGGUACGUAGACAACACUCUCCCCUCGUUGCUAUGCAUCACAUGAUCUUGCGUGUGCGUAGGAAAUUUUUUGAAAUUACUACGAAACCCAACAGUGGCAUCCGAGCCAGGUUUUAUAUGUUGAUGUUAUAUGCACGAGUAGAACACAAGUAAGUUGUGGACGAUACAAGUCAUACUGCCUACCAGCAUGUCAUACUUUGGUUCGGCGGUAUUGUUGGACGAGACGACCCGGACCAACCUUACGCGUACGCUUACGCGAGACCGGUUCCCUCGACGUGCUUUGCACAGAGAUGGCUUGCGGGCGACUGUCUCUCCAACUUUAGUUGAACCAAGUAUGGCUACGCCCGGUCCUUGCGAAGGUUAAAACGGAGUCUAUUUGACAAACUAUCGUUGUGGUUUUGAUGCGUAGGUGAGAUUGGUUCUUACUUAAGCCCGUAGCAGCCACGUAAAACAUGCAACAACAAAGUAGAGGACGUCUAACUUGUUUUUGCAGGGCAUGUUGUGAUGUGAUAUGGUCAAGGCAUGAUGCUGAAUUUUAUUGUAUGAGAUGAUCAUGUUUUGUAACCAAGUUAUCGGCAACUGGCAGGAGCCAUAUGGUUGUCGCUUUAUUGUAUGCAAUGCAAUCGCGAUGUAAUGCUUUACUUUAUUACUAAAAGGUAGUGAUAGUCGUGGAAGCAUAAGAUUGGCGAGACGACAACGAUGCUACGAUGGAGAUCAAGGUGUCGCGCCGGUGACGAUGGUGAUCAUGACGGUGCUUCGGAGAUGGAGAUCACAAGCACAAGAUGAUGAUGGCCAUAUCAUGUCACAUAUUCUGAUUGCAUAUGAUGUUUAUCUUUUAUACAUCUUAUUUUGCUUAGUUUGACGGUAGCAUUUUAAGAUGAUCUCUCACUAAAUUAUCAAGAAGUGUUCUCCCUGAGUAUGCACCGUUGCGAAAGUUCUUCGUGCUGAGACACCACGUGAUGAUCGGGUGUGAUAGGCUCUACGUUCAAAUACAACGGGUGCAAAACAGUUGCACAUGCGGAAUACUCAGGUUAUACUUGACGAGCCUAGCAUAUACAGAUAUGGCCUCGGAACACGGAGACCGAAAGGUCGAGCGUGAAUCAUAUAGUAGAUAUGAUCAACAUAGUGAUGUUCACCAUUGAAACUACUCCAUCUCACGUGAUGAUCGGACAUGGUUUAGUUGAUUUGGAUCACGUGAUCACUUAGAGGAUUAGAGGGAUGUCUGUCUAAGUGGGAGUUCUUAAGUAAUAUGAUUAAAUUGAACUUAAAUUUAUCAUGAACUUAGUCCUGGUAGUCUUUUGCAAAUCAUGUUGUAGAUCAAUAGCUCGCGUUGUUGCUUCCCUGUGUUUAUUUUGAUAUGUUCCUAGAGAAAAUUAUGUUGAAAGAUGUUAGUAGCAAUGAUGCGGAUUGGAUCCGUGAUCUGAGGUUUAUCCUCAUUGCUGCACAGAAGAAUUAUGUCCUUGAUGCACCGCUAGGUGACGGACCUAUUGCAGGAGCAGAUGCAGACGUUAUGAACGUUUGGCUAGCUCAAUAUGAUGACUACUUGAUAGUUUAAGUGCACCAUGCUUAACGGCUUAGAAUCGGGACUUCAAAGAUGUUUUGAACAUCAUGGACCAUAUGAGAUGUUCCAGUAAUUGAAGUUAAUAUUUCAAGCAAAUACCCGAGUUGAGAGAUGUGAAGUCUCCAACAAGUUCUAUAGCUAAAAGAUGGAGGAGAAUCGCUCAACUAGUGAGCAUGUGCUCAGAUUGUCUGGGUACUUCAAUUGCUUGAAUCAAGUGGGAGUUAAUCUUCCAGAUAAGAUAGUGAUUGACAGAAUUCUCUAGUCACCAUCACUAAGUUACUGAACUUCAUGAUGAACUAUAGUAUGCAAGGGAUGACGAAAACGAUUCCCGAGCUCUUCGUGAUAUUGAAAUCGACGAAGGUAGAAAUCAAGAAAGAGCAUCAAGUGUUGAUGAUUGCCAAGACCACUAGUUUCAAGAAAAGGGCAAAGGGAAGAAGGGGAACUUCAAGAAGAACAGCAAGCAAGUUGCUGCUCAAGUGAAGAAGCCCAAGUCUGGUCCUAAGCCUGAGACUAAGUGCUUCUACUGCAAAGGGACUGGUCACUGGAAGCGGAUCUACCCCAAGUGAUUGGCAGAUAAGAAGGAUGGCAAAGUGAACAUAAGUAUAUUUGAUAUACAUGUUAUUGAUGUGUACUUUACUAGUGUUUAUAGCAAACCCUAAGUAUUUGAUACUAGUUCAGUUGCUAAGAUUAGUAACUCGAAACGGGAGUUGCAGAAUAAACAGAGACUAGUUGAGGGUGAAGUGACGAUGUGUGUUGGAAGUGGUUCCAAGAUUGAUAUGAUCAUCGUCGCACACUCCCUAUACUUUCGGGAUUAGUGUUGAACCUGAAUAAAUGUUAUUUGGUGUUGGCGUUGAGCAUGAAUAUGAUUUGAUCAUGUUUAUUGUAAUACGGUUAUUCAUUUAAGUAAGAGAAUAAAUUGUUGUUCUGUUUACAUGAAUGAAACCUUAUAUGGUUACACACCCAAUGAAAAUAGUUCGUUGGAUCUCGAUCAUAGUGAUACACAUAAUCAUAAUAUUGAAACCAAAAGAUGCAAAGUUAAUAAUGAUAAGUGCAACUUGUUUGUAGCACUGCCGUUUAGGUCAUAUUUUUGUAAAGCGCAUGAAGAAACUCCAUACUGAUGGGCUUUUGGAAUCACUUGAUUAUGAAUCAGUUGAUGCUUGCGAACCAUGCCUCAUGGGCAAGAUGACUAAAAACUCUGUUCUUCGGAACAAUGGAGUGAGCAAUAGAUUUGUUAAAAAUCAUACAUACUGAUGUAUGUAGUCCGAUGAAUAUUGAGGCUCGCGACAGGUAUCAUUAUUUUCUGAUCUUCACAGAUGAUUUGAGCAGAUAUGAGUAUAUCUACUUGAUGAAACAUAAGUCUGAAACAUUUGAAAAGUUCAAAGAAUUUCAGAGUGAAGUGAAAAAUCAUCGUAACAAGAAAAUAAAGUUUCUACGAUCUGAUCGUAGAGAUGAGUAUUUGAGUUACGAGUUUGGCCUUCAGUUAAAAACAAUGUGAAAUAGUUUCACUACUCAUGCCACCUAGAACACCACAAUAUAAUGGUGUGUCCGAACGUCAUAACCGUACUUUAUUAGAUAUGGUGCGAUCUAUGAUGUGUCUUACCGAUCUACCACUAUCGUUUUAGGGUUAUGCAUUAGAGACAGCUGCAUUCACGUUAAAUAGGGCACCAUCUAAAUCCGUUGAGACGACACCGUGUGAACUAUGGUUUGGCAAGAAACCUAAGCUGUCGUUUCUUAAAUUUGGGGUUGCGAUGCUUAUAUGAAAAAGUUUCAUCCUGAUAAGCUCAAACUCAAAUCGGAGAAGUGCGUCUUCAUAGGAUACCCAAAGGAGACAAUUGGGUACACCUUCUAUCAUAGAUCCGAAGGCAAGACAUUCGUUGCUAAGAAUGGAUCAUUUCUGGAGAAGGAGUUUCUCUCGAAAGAAGUGAGUGGGAGGAAAGUAGAACUUGACGAGGUAACUGUACCUGCUCCCCUACUGGAGAGUAGUUCAUCACAGAAAACUGUUUCAGUGACACCUACACCGGUUAGUGAGGAAGUUAAUGAUGAUGAUCAUCAAACUUCAGAUCAAGUUACUACCAAACCUCGUAGGUCUUCCAGAGUAAGAUCCGCACCAGAGUGGUACGGUAAUCAUGUUCUGGAAGUCAUGUUACUAGACCAUGAUGAACCUACGAGCUAUGAGGAAGCAAUGAUGAGCCCAGAUUCCACGAAAUGGCUUGAGGCCAUGAAAUCUGAGAUAUGAUCCAUGUAUGAGAACAAAGUGUAGACUUUGAUUGACUUGCCCGAUGAUCGGUGAGUCAUUAAGAAUAAAUGGAUCUUCAAGAGGAAGACGGACGUUGAUAGUAGUGUUACUAUCUACAAAGCUAGACUUGUCGAAAAAGGUUUUUGACAAAGUUCAAGGUGUUGAAUACGAUGAGAUUUUCUUACUCGUAUCGAUGCUUAAAAGUCUGUCCGAAUCAUGUUAGCAAUUGCCGCAUUUUAUGAUUAUGAAAUUUGGCAGAUGGAUGUCAAAACUGCAUUCCUGAAUGGAUUUCUGGAAGAAGAGUUGUAUAUGAUGCAACCGGAAGGUUUUGUCGAUCCAAAGGGAGCUAACAAAGUGUGCAAGCUCCAGCGAUCCAUUUAUGGACUGGUGCAAGAAUCUCGGAGUUGGAAUAUACGCUUUGAUAAGUUGAUCAAAGUAUAUAGUUAUUGUACAGACUUACAGUGAAGCCUGUAUUUACAAGAAAGUGAGUGGGAGCACUACAACAUUUCUGAUAAGUAUAUGUGAAUGACAUAUUGUUGAUCGGAAAUAAUGUAGAAUUAUUCUGCAAAGCAUGAAAGGAUACUUGAAUAAAAGUUUUUCAAAGAAAGACCUUGGUGAAGCUGCUUACACAUUGAGCAUCAAGAUCUAUAUAGAUAGAUGAAGACGCUUGAUAAGAUUUUUUCAAUAAAUACAUACCUUGAUAAAUUUUUGAAAUAGUUCAAAAUGGAACAGUCAAAGAAGGAGUUCUUGCCUGUGUUGCAAGGUGUUAAGUUGAGUAAGACUCAAAGCCCGACCACGGCAGAAAAUAGAAAGAGAAUGAAAGUCAUUCCCUAUGCCUCAGUCAUAGGUUCUAUAAAGUAUGCCAUGCUGUAUACCAGAUCUAUUGUAUGUCAUACCACUGAGUUUGGCAAGGGAGUACAAUAGUGAUCUAGGAGUAGAUCACUGGAGAGCGGUCAAAAUUGUCCUUAGUGGAAUAAGGAUAUGUUUCUCGAUUAUGGAAAAAGGUUCGUCGUAAAAGGUUACGCCGAUGCAAGUUUGACACUAAUCUAGAUGACUCUAAGUCUUGAUCUAGAUACAUAUUGAAAGUGGGAGCAAUUAGCUAGAGUAGCUCCGUGCAGAGCAUUGUAGACAUAGAAUUCGCAAAAUACUUACGGAUCUGUAUAUGACAUACCCGUUGACUAAGAUUCUCUCACAAGCAAAACAUGAUCACACCUUAGUACUCCUUGGGUGUUAAUCACAUAGCGAUGUGAACUAGAUUACUGAAUCUAGUAAACCCUUUGGGUGUUGGUCACAUAGAGAUGUGAACUAUGGGUGUUAAUCACAUGGUGAUGUGAACUAUUGCUGUUAAAUCACAUGGCGAUGUGAACUAGAUUAUUGACUCUAGUGCAAGUGGGAGACUGAAGGAAAUAUGCCCUAGAGGCAAUAAUAAAGUUAUUAUUUAUUUCCUUAUAUCAUGAUAAAUGUUUAUUAUUCAUGCUAGAAUUGUAUUAACCGGAAACAUAAUACAUGUGUGAAUACAUAGACAAACAGAGUGUCACUAGUAUGCCUCUACUUGACUAGCUCGUUAAUCAAAGAUGGUUAUGUUUCCUGACCAUGAACAAUGAGUUGUUAUUUGAUUAACGAGGUCACAUCAUUAGUUGAAUGAUCUGAUUGACAUGACCCAUUUCAUUAGCUUAGCACCUGAUCGUUUAGUAUGUUGCUAUUGCUUUCUUCAUGACUUAUACAUGUUCCUAUAACUAUGAGAUUAUGCAACUCCCGUUUACCGGAGGAACACUUUGGGUACUACCAAACGUCACAACGUAACUGGGUGAUUAUAAAGGAGUACUACAGGUGUCUCCAAUGGUCGAUGUUGGGUUGGCGUAUUUCGAGAUUAGGAUUUGUCACUCCGAUUGUCGGAGAGGUAUCUCUGGGCCCUCUCGGUAAUACACAUCACAUAAGCCUUGCAAGCAUUACAACUAAUAUGUUAGUUGUGAGAUGAUGUAUUAUGGAACGAGUAAAGAGACUUGCCGGUAACGAGAUUGAACUAGGUAUUGGAUACCGACGAUCGAAUCUCGGACAAGUAACAUACCGAUGACAAAGGGAACAAUGUAUGUUGUUAUGCGGUCUGACCGAUAAAGAUCUUCGUAGAAUAUGUAGGAGCCAAUAUGGGCAUCCAGGUCCCGCUAUUGGUUAUUGACCAGAGACGUGUCUCGGUCAUGUCUACAUUGUUCUCGAACCCGUAGGGUCCGCACGCUUAAGGUUACGAUGACAGUUAUAUUAUGAGUUUAUGCAUUUUGAUGUACCGAAGGUUGUUCGGAGUCCCGGAUGUGAUCACGGACAUGACGAGGUGUCUCGAAAUGGUCGAGACAUAAAGAUUGAUAUAUUGGAAGCCUAUGUUUGGACAUCGGAAGUGUUCCGGGUGAAAUCGGGAUUUUACCGGGUUACCGGGAGGUUAUCGGAACCCCCCGGGAGCCAUAUGGGCCAUCAUGGGCCUUAGUGGAAAGGAGAAAGGGGCAGCCCAAGGGGGCUGCGCGCCUCCCCCCUUCCCCUAGUCCUAUUAGGACUAGGAGAGGUGGCCGGCCACCCCUCUCCCUCUUUCCCCCUUGGGAAUCCUAGUUGGAAUAGGAUUGGGGGGGGGAGUCCUACUCCCGGUAGGAGUAGGACUCCUCCUGCGCCUCUCCCUCUUGGCCGGCGCACCCUCCCCCCUUGGCUCCUUUAUAUACGGAGGCAGGGGCACCUCUAAACACACAAGUUGACACAAGUUGAUCCACGUGAUCGAUUCCUUAGCCGUGUGCGGUGCCCCCUGCCACCAUAUUCCUCGAUAAUACCGUAGCGGAGUUUAGGCGAAGCCCUGCUGCUGUAGUUCAUCAAGAUCGUCACCACGCCGUCGUGCUGACGGAACUCUUCCCCGACACUUUGCUGGAUCGGAGUCCGGGGAUCGUCAUCGAGCUGAACGUGUGCUCGAACUCGGAGGUGCCGUAGUUUCGGUGCUUGAUCGGUUGGAUCGUGAAGACGUACGACUACUUCCUCUACGUCGUGUCAUCGCUUCCGCAGUCGGUCUGCGUUGGGUACGUAGACAACACUCUCCCCUCGUUGCUAUGCAUCACAUGAUCUUGCGUGUGCGUAGGAAAUUUUUUGAAAUUACUACGAAACCCAACAACUUCUGCUUCGGGUAGCUCUUGGUGGGGCGAUUACCGCCGUACUUCGCUGCUGUGUUGAGUACUUUACUCCAUCUGAUUCUGAGUGUGUCUUGCGCAGACUUGAGCCUUUUCUUCUGCUUUUUUAGACUCCUCAUGGUGGCAACAAGCCUUUGACGGGCAUUCUGUUGCUCCGGGUGUCCGUCCAGUGUGAUGUCAUCUGGACUAUUAUCUUUGAUAGAGUCGGGUUGUUCGGUUUGAUUCUCCGUGUUGCCAUGGUCCGGCGAUUGUUCACCCUGCUCUAAGGCUGGGUCUAUAUGAUCGUUGUUUCUGCCGAGGCGGGAUUUGGAGCGGCGCUUACGCCGCCGCUUUGACUGCUUAUCGAGGGGACAACCCUCUGUUGCGUCCUUCCAUUCCUCGUCGUCGUCUUCUUUUGGUGUGUCCACCAUGUAUACGUCAUGUGAUAAAGUGGGCGUCCAGUGCCCUGUGGGCAGUGGUUCCUGUUCGCCUCCUGCAUCGUCGUCCAUACCGUCGAUGUCUUCGGAGUCGAAGUCGAGCAUGUCGGUUAAGUCAUCGACAGUAGCUACUGAGUGGGUGGUGGGUGGGCAGCGAAUUUCUUCAUCAUCCGCAUCCCAAUCCUGUCGGACAUAGUUCGGCCAGGACUCUCCUGACAAGGAGAGAGACUUUAAUGAAUUCAGUACGUCGCCGAAGGGCGAGUGCUGAAAGAUAUUCGCGGAGGUGAACUCCAUGAUUGGCGCCCAGUCCGAUUUGAUAGGCACGGGUGCAGGAGGUUCGGAGUCCGUGGCCGGGGAAGGAUCCAGCAGUUUGGCAACACUGCUCUCGUGAAGGAUAAGGUCGAUAUUCGGCUCGAUCGCCGCUGAGGGUAAGGCCUCCAUGGCGGGGUCCAUCCACCCGUCCAUGGACGGCGCAACUGGCUCCGAAUUGAGGGUCGGAGCGGCUGCCGGUGCGAUCUUCUAAACACUGUCUAAUGGUAGAGCUAAAUCGUACUCAUCGUGACCGCGCGAUGCACAAGGCAGAGGCUCGAAUCCGUCGAAGAUCAAGUCUCCGCGGAUAUCAGCCAUGUAUUUUAAGCUUCCAAACCUGACCUGGUGGCCAGGGGCAUAACUUUCGAUCUGCUCCAGAUGGCCAAGCGAGUUGGCCCGUAGUGCAAAGCCGCCGAAUACAAAAAUCUGUCCGGGGAGAAAGUCUCACCCUGGGCUGCAUCGUUAUCAAUGAUCAUAGGAGCCAUCAAGCCUAACGGCGACGACAUAGAGGAACUCUCAAUGAAAGCACCAAUGUCGGUGUCAAAACCGGCGGAUCUCGGGUAGGGGGUCCCGAACUAUGCGUCUAAGGCGGAUGGUAACAGGAGGCAGGGGACAUGAUGUUUUACCCAGGUUCAGGCCCUCAUGAUGGAGGUAAAACCCUACGUCCUGCUUGAUUAAUAUUGAUGAUAUGGAUAGUACAAGAGUAGAUCUACCACGAGAUUAGAGAGGCUAAACCCUAGAAGCUAGCCUAUGGUAUGAUUGUAUGUUAUCGUGUCCUACGGACUAAAAUCCUCUGGUUUAUAUAGACACUGGAGGGGGCUAGGGUUACACAAGGUCGGUUACAAAGGAGGAGAUAUCCAUAUCCGUACUUCCUAGCUUGCCUUCCACGCCAAGUAGAGUCCCAUCUGGACACGAGACGAAGUCUUCAAUCUUGUAUCUUCAUAGUCCAACAGUCCGACCAAAGGAUAUAAUCCGGCUGUCCGGAGACCCCUAAUCCCGGACUCCCUCAGAGGGCCUUACCACCGUCGCAUAGAAGGGGACGACGAGGUUGGGGACGCAUUGAAGGCGGCGGAUCGACCGCCGGUGGCCGCGGAUGCAGUCGGGGAGGAAUGAUGAAAACAGCGGCGAUGCGGCGUCCCGACUUGAUCCACUUGAUGAUGAAGAAGAAGUCUUCCAUGGUGAAGCUCCCGGACACGCUAGAUCAGCACGGAGGCAACGAUGGUCGCAACGACGACAUGGCGGCGGACGAGCUCGGGAUCGAGCAAUUGGAGAGGGAG